RNAcentral lists this long non-coding RNA (553 nucleotides) under Homo sapiens (human). Its description in RNAcentral is "non-protein coding lnc-TACC1-1:1". Lineage: Eukaryota; Metazoa; Chordata; Mammalia; Primates; Hominidae. The record is from RNAcentral.
GCCCACUUCUUGUCAAAUCCAAGAAGGAAGGGACCUGCUGGCCAAACCCUUUUUUCCCACUGGACCUCAGACCCCAAGGAACUUGGAGUCUGCUCAAGUGAGUGAGUUGGGGCUCUUCGCCCUCCCAGAACUGGCUGUUGAUGGAAGAAACCCCUGCGUAGGAAGGAUGGAACUCUCCUGCUAUCAUGUGAAGCAGCAUGGACUAGCCUACAGAGGAUGAGGCCUCAUGGAGCAGACAAGCUGUCUCAGUUGAGGCCCUCAAAACCAAUCAAGCUCCAGCUGAACUGCCAGGUGACUGUAGCUGCAUGAGUGACCCCAGGCAAGAUGAGCAGAAGAGGCCCCAACUGAGCCCAACCCAAAUAGCUGACUCAUGGAAUCAUGAGCAAAUAAAAUGGUUGUUUUAAGCCACUAAGUUUUUAGAUGGUUUGUUACCCAGCAAUACAUAAUUGGUUUAUCAGAUAUCACAGCUAUUUUAUAGAUGAAGAAACUGACUCUCCAAGAAUUUGAUUGACUUGCACAUCAGGACAAGGACUGGGAUGGAAAGAGAAAGCCA